UUCCGGUUGAUCCUGCCGGAGGCUACCGCUAUUGGAGUUCGAUUAAGCCAUGCGAGUCGAGAGUCCUCGGGACUCGGCGUACCGCUCAGUAACACGUGGGUAACCUGCCCUAUGCUGGGGAAUAACCUCGGGAAACUGAGAACAAUGCCCCAUAGCCCACUACGCCUGGAACGGUGAGUGGGUCAAAGCUCCGGCGGCAUAGGAUGGGCCUGCGCCGUAUCAGGUUGUAGGGGGUGUAAAGUACCCUCUAGCCAUCAACGCGUACGGGUGUUGGGAGACAUUGCCCGGAGAUGGAUUCUGAGACACGAAUCCAGACCCUACGGGGUGCAGCAGGCGCGAAAACUUGGCAAUGCGAGAAAUCGUGACCAGGGAACUCCAAGUGCGUAGGGUAAGACCUACGCUUUUCUUGACUCUUCAAAGGUCUUGGAAUAAGGGGUGGGUAAGGACGGUGCCAGCCGCCGCGGUAAUACCGGCGCCUCAAGUGGUAGUCGCUUUUAUUGGGCCUAAAACGUCCGUAGCCGGUCUGGUGCAUUCGUGGGUAAAUCAACCCGCUCAACGGGUUGAAUUCUGCGAGCACGGCCAGACUUGGGACCGGGAGAGGUGUGGGGUACUCUCAGGGUAGGGGUAAAAUCCUGUCACCCUGAGAGGACCACCUGUUGCGAAGGCGCCACACUAGAACGGAUCCGACGGUCAGGGACGAAACCUAGGGGCACGAACCGGAUUAGAUACCCGGGUAGUCCUAGGUGUAAACGCUGUGGACUUGAUGUUGGGGACGCUCCGAGCGUUCCCAGUGUCGAAGCGAAGGUGAUAAGUCCACUGCCUGGGGAGUACGGUCGCAAGGCUGAAACUUAAAGGAAUUGGCGGGGGAGCACUGCAACCUGAGGAUUGUGCGGUUUAAUUGGAUUCAACGCCGGG
RNAcentral lists this ribosomal RNA (915 nucleotides) under uncultured archaeon. Its description in RNAcentral is "bacterial SSU rRNA". It matches the Rfam family "Archaeal small subunit ribosomal RNA", at positions 1 to 922 of the family's 1478-position model. The record is from RNAcentral.